Molecule: ribosomal RNA, 211 nt
Filed under: uncultured bacterium
Lineage: Bacteria
Description: partial 16S ribosomal RNA
Rfam family: Bacterial small subunit ribosomal RNA
Source: RNAcentral
ACCACGCCGUCUACUCUUGGACAGCCUUCUGAAAGGAAGAUUAAUACAAGAUGGCAUCAUGAGUCCGCAUGUUCACAUGAUUAAAGGUAUUCGGGUAGACGAUGGGGAUGCGUUCCAUUAGAUAGUAGGCGGGGUAACGGCCCACCUAGUCUUCGAUGGAUAGGGGUUCUGAGAGGAAGGUCCCCCACAUUGGAACUGAGACACGGUCCAA